AUCCAAUUGAUGAGUCUUAAAUAGGACGAAAUACGCAUCAAACUGGAU
Schistosoma haematobium is the source of this 48-nucleotide non-coding RNA. Lineage: Eukaryota; Metazoa; Platyhelminthes; Trematoda; Strigeidida; Schistosomatidae. The record is from Rfam.